UUUAACUUUUAACUAUCACCCUAUUAUUACAGAGGUAUUGAAACAUUGGUGAAUGAAGCCACUGACAGAACUGAGGAUACCUGUAUGAUCAGCGACCAUCUAUUGGACAUCCACACUGAGGAGGAAGCUGUGUGUACAGCAAUAAGUAUACAGACUGUACGUCAUCUGUACAUUACAGUUGUAGUACCAGUAGACCUGCACAUGACGUGUUAAACAUACAAUCACCACAUGCAUGUAUAUAAUUCAUAUAUUUGUUUCAUUUGAUAUCAUUGCUCUCUCAAUCAAUUCAACCACAUCUUUUAUUAUGAAUGUUAUUAGAUAUUUUCUUUACGUAGACAUGUAUAAACAUGCAAUACAAUUUCAAGCUGGUAAGAUUUAUUAGUAAAGUUGUGUUUUGUACAUUUCAGACAUGUCAGAAAGAAAUUGCUGUGCAGACGGAUCCCCCUCCACGGACAUACCACAAGUCCAUGUUGGCACGACCACGUGUCAGGUCAGCUGGACUGCAAGUUCCAAUUCGGGUUGGUUGUUCCAAAGAGUAUGUUACUGAACUCUUGACCGAGACUCAAUGCUUUGUGCCAAGACAAUGUUGAUGAGGAACCUUUCGAAGUCCCAGCUCCACUCAGCAGUCGGUGGAAGAACCAAACAAGAGGGAUGCUGUUGUGCUGUAUAAAGUGCUGGAUACUUGAACUUGACGUGUAGUUGUCAGAUGGAAACGUAGCACAGAUCUUUUGAAUGGCACAUGAUGGCAUUCUGUGGUUUUUACCAAGUAUUCUCACCAGCUGGCGGUAUGCCUCAUAGUGAUACAUUCUGUAACAUACAAGAUAAUACAAUGGUAAUCACUUCAACCUUAUUUGCUUAUUUAUUUAUUUAUUCUGUAACUUUGCCAGAGUGACCAUACGACUCUCCAUAAAUACAUCAACGUUUCUGAGCUCUACACAUUUGUGAACACAAGUAACUCAUUACGUGGCUGAUCACCUGCUUGUUGUCUGUCUCUCUUCGAAUACCUUUGGUAGGCUGUCUGCAACACCCAAACAUCCAGACACUUUGAUUUGAAUCCUGAGUGAUCUGUUAUGCAGGUUAUGUUUGCACCAUGUCCCUCAUAUUCAUUG
This 1109-nucleotide long non-coding RNA is filed under the name Cottoperca gobio. RNAcentral describes it as "lncRNA (ENSCGOG00000003648.1)". The record is from RNAcentral. Lineage: Eukaryota; Metazoa; Chordata; Actinopteri; Perciformes; Bovichtidae.